Molecule: non-coding RNA, 115 nt
Organism: Trichuris suis (pig whipworm)
Lineage: Eukaryota; Metazoa; Nematoda; Enoplea; Trichinellida; Trichuridae
Source: Rfam
GACAGCGUGGCCGAGCGGUCUAAGGCGCCAGACUCAAGUGUAAGCUUCCCUGUCAAGCAGGUCUGAGUGUUCUGGUCUUCUGGUCAUGGCGUGGGUUCGAAUCCCACCGCUGUCA